RNAcentral lists this ribosomal RNA (465 nucleotides) under uncultured bacterium. RNAcentral's name for it is "partial 16S ribosomal RNA". It matches the Rfam family "Bacterial small subunit ribosomal RNA", at positions 338 to 795 of the family's 1533-position model. The record is from RNAcentral.
CCUACGGGAGGCAGCAGUGGGGAAUAUUGCGCAAUGGGCGAAAGCCUGACGCAGCGACGCCGCGUGAGGGAUGAAGGUCUUCGGAUCGUAAACCUCUGUCAGCAGGGAAGAACGGUCACUGUGCUAAUCAGCAGUGAAUUGACGGUACCUGCAAAGGAAGCACCGGCUAACUCCGUGCCAGCAGCCGCGGUAAUACGGAGGGUGCGAGCGUUCAUCGGAAUUACUGGGCGUAAAGCGCUCGUAGGCGGUAUGUCAAGUCAAGGGUGAAAUCCCCGCGCUCAACGUGGGAACUGCCUUUGAAACUGGCAAACUGGAGUGUGUGAGAGGAUAGUGGAAUGCCAGGUGUAGGAGUGAAAGCCGUAGAUAUCUGGAGGAACAUCAGUGGCGAAGGCGACUAUCUGGCACAUAACUGACGCUGAGGAGCGAAAGCGUGGGUAGCAAACAGGAUUAGAUACCCCUGUAGUC